This 1345-nucleotide long non-coding RNA is filed under the name Sus scrofa (pig). RNAcentral's name for it is "lncRNA (ENSSSCG00070007394.1)". The record is from RNAcentral. Lineage: Eukaryota; Metazoa; Chordata; Mammalia; Artiodactyla; Suidae.
GUGGAGGGCCAGGCACCUUGCCCUCCUCACCGGCUCCCGCAGUGGCCCAGAGCAAGCACCCAGGGACCUCGAUGCUGCAGUGUGGGCCUAGGCGAUAAGGCAGGGCCAACCUGAGGCCACAGCACAGGAGGGGUGGGAUUUGGGGAGGCUCUGGGGCUCAGAGAAGACCUGCCUGCCCCCUGGAGUGCGCCCAGGCCCGGUGUGGCUCUGGCUUCCUGUUCCUGAGGUGAUAGGAUCUGCUCAUCCUAGGGGCUUGGGCGCUACGAAAAUGAUCAGAACUGAGCGGGAGCCCCUGGAGGAAGCUCCAGGUUGGGCCUGGGGUCCUGAACUCAGAGAAGAGGGAAGCGCUGGAGGCCUCAUGGGAACUCAUUCCUGGGCUCCGAAAUUCCCAUGUUUAUCCCAAGGGAAACCUCCUUGCCAAAGAGCAGCAUCCAGGGCGCAGCUUUAAGAAACAGCGACAGAGGCGCUAGAAAACCAGGAAUCUGCAGAAGCUUAGAUAAAUUGAUAAAGCAGGGAUUCCCUGAAGGAGCACGAGGAUGCCGCUUGGCGGGAGGCCAGAAGACCAAGGGCUGAGCGGACUUCCUGAGCCUUUAUCAGGCGCUGUGCUGAGCCCCGGGUGUGCACAUUCUUAUUUAAUGGAGGAAGUGCCACUUUCUUUGUAGACGAGGAUGUGGAGGCUUGGCAGAGCAAGGGACCUUGUUUGACCAGGAGGUGGGCUGCAGCCCCAUCCUUCAGGGCCUGAACUCAGCUGGUGUACUUCCCGUCCUGCGGCACCCACCCCUUGCUGUUUCUUUACCUCUAGGCCGUUCAACAGCUAAGACUUGACCGUCUCAGCAUGCACUUCAGUUUCACGUGGAAGGCGGUUAGUUGGCCAUGCUCUCGGGGAGGGUCCCAAACUCCUCCACCUGGUGUUCCUGCCGCUGACACCUGCAGGUUCGUCCCCUGUGCAGGCCCCUGCACUGGCCUCCAGGCCCAUGACAGCAAGUGCCUCCUCUAGACGCCAGAGAUGCAGUCAAGAAUUGCAUGUGAGAGCGUGAAAUUAACAACCCUGAUAGGCCAGAGAAGCAGGGGCAAGGAAGCGGGCCAGUCCCAUCCAGCUUCCCUGGAGUACCACUAACAAGGGCGGCGGAGGACGGAACGGGAUGUGCCUCCUGUGGGGGCUCCUGGGAAGCCGUGCCAGACGGAAUAUCGGGAGGGUGAGGACACCCCAGGGGCAUUUCUACCGUCCCACGGCAGUUACGCCAUCACUGUCAGUUUCUACUUAGUUUUCAUGAGACCACCCUAGAUUUCCAAUGGCAAACUUGCCUUGGGAGACGUAUAUAUAAUAAAACAUAUGUUUGUCUCA